This is a long non-coding RNA of Cyprinus carpio carpio, 5225 nucleotides long. Lineage: Eukaryota; Metazoa; Chordata; Actinopteri; Cypriniformes; Cyprinidae. The record is from Ensembl.
AUGAUCAUAACUCAGUUGUUUUCAUAUCAGAGCACAGAUGAGGUGGAGCUGCUUCAGAACAGAGAGGGUGAGAUAGGGAAAAGCAGCAGCAGCACAACGUUACAGAGAACAGAUGAGGUGAAGCUGCUUAAAGACAGGGAGGGUGAGACAGGGAGAAGUAGCUCAGAGUUGCAGGUGAGACAGGGAACAGGCGCAAGCGAAGAAGUGCAGGUAGGCAGGCAGGAUGCUGAACCCAACCAUGCUAACCCAAAGCUCAUUGCAGUGCAGCAGAAUUUAUCAUUAUAAACAACUUAAUUAUUUCCUGGAUCACCAUAGUCCCUAACUGUAUGUAAAUGGAGGAAAUGGGAUUCAAAUCAAAAACAUUUUUCCCCAUUUUGUGUCCCCCCCACUUCUCAAACCAAAGUUACACCCUUGAUAAAGAAUAUCUUUGGAUUUGAGACUUUAGUCUUUGCAACUUCACAGAUCUUCUUUAUGCACCAAGAGCUUGUAUCACUCCAAAGAGAAAUCGCAUCAUAUGACCCCUUUAAUAAAGAAUUACACAUUCCCGGUUCAUUAACAAUUCCAUGAGCACUUCUUUUAUUACUUUCAAGAAAUAAAUAUAUAUAUUUUUUUAUAUAAAACAAAAUCCAUUCAUUGCUAAAUUAUGAGACAAUUUCAAUAAUUAUUAAAUUUAAAACUGUUCUUGGCAAGUUUUGUUGACAUGUUACAUACACUAGUGUUGGGUGAUAUGCUCCAUAGUCAUAUCGUCCAAUCGUCAGCCUGUGAUAUACACAAUAUUAUCAUGCUAAUUCAUUUAAUUAUUUACUUAGUUUCAUAGCUGUAGAGGGAACCAACUCCAGGGUCGUCAAACUUUAAUUGGAAGGAUUUUUAUUGAUUCCCCACCUCCUGAGUGUAAUAAAAAAUAAGCUUCUGUUUCAUAAACUUGGUACUGAUAAAAGUUUUGCAAAUAUCUUAGCCUACCUUUGGGGUCUUUGCUAUUAUAUUCCAAAAUCAUUAUGCCUCUACUAGCUAGUUAUAGAUUAAGAGCUGUUGUUUUAGUACAUAUGGCUUGCUGCUGUGUUUAAUAAUUUAUGUUGUUAAAAUAACGUAUGUUCCAUUAAUGCAUUGUUUGCUGGUUUAUUUCGCUGUUUUUCAGUACACCACAUUAAAUAUGGAACUUAGUACUGUAAGACUUUGAAUUAAUAAUGGGUGUGUUAGAUUUUAGUGUGUAAAUAAUCAAGCAUUGACAAUAAUCAGUCAUAUUGGCGACACCGAGGGGCCCCAGAAGCUUUAUAUCACAUUUCCGGAGCUCUGUUCUUUUAAUAGAUCGACAUCUCUGCGGAGAGCCGAUGUAUGAUGUGCUGCUCUCCUCCACUCGUCUUCCUGGCUGUCACAUAAUUUCAGCUUGAAUUCUAAUGAGUGUUUUGUCUAUUGAAUUGGUGGCAUAUGUUUUGUUCCAACACUUGAGUUCAGCUACAGUGUUUUUAGUCUUCAAAACAUUAGCAGAAUCAAUAGAAACUCCAUAUUUUUCAGAGAGACAUGCAUCUGAGGCCUUCUGGUGAAGUUGUUUUGCUGAGCCAGGUGUUUUUAAAAUGUGUUUGGAAGUUGGUGUGAGGUAAAAACAUUUUCUCAGUGAGGCAGAAGAAUGUAAUGGCGGAGGGUAAAGAAGGAUCUUUGUGCACUUUGAUAAAUUACCAGUUGUUUGUAGCCAUUGAUUUGCCUUUUGUGCAUGAAACUCCAAUAAAGAACCACAAAUGAAGCUUAGAACAAAGCAGUUAACUCUAAACAGCCACAGAUGCUUUCUUUACUAGUUAUUAGUUUUAACAGCAUCAAAAAGGACUCUGCUCAUUUGAGAAUGUGUUUAGAAACAGUAAAAGCACAGGUCAGGAAGAUCCGAUCCAAAUCCAUCAAUCCCCACGAGCUCAUGUUUAGACUAAUAGGAAGAAUGGAGUAUUGCAUGACAUAUUUUACACCUUUGUAGCCAUAAAUCUUGAAAAGAUGUAAUAUGCCAAAGACAGCUUUGAUAUUUACAACCCCAUAUCGUUAAUUCAAAUGACCUUAAAUAAAAAUACAGAUUACACAAGCGUCUCUUGAAGCAGUUGACCUUUUUUUAACCUGUAUAUAUGAAUCUUUGUAUAUUAAAUUGAUGUUUUGAGGCAUCUUGGCCGAGACUGAGCUUUGUACCUUAUAAAAUAGUGUCACCUACAGGUGUACUUGUGAAAUGGCCCAUGUUCCAUAGUAAAGAAUGCCUCCAUCUGCUGGUGACUGAUUGUAGUAUGUUUCAGGGCAUUUGUUUUGACCUUUUAGGAGGUCAAGGAGCUCUUAAUGGGUAGAUUAAUUAUUAAAUCAAGUGUUUGCACUUCACUGAGGCAAUGAAAUAUUUAAUGUAUCUUUAGCUUCUUUAGAACAACAACAUGGUUCAGUCAUUACACACCACAAUACAUUUUUAAAAGUAUUCAAAGAAGGAACUGCUUCCAGGAAUUGCAACCUACAUUGCUGUACGGCAAACAAUGGUGAGUAUGUGAGCAGGCAUUUGUUAUAAAUCACAAUGCACCAUACAGACAUCAUCCAGACGUUUUAGUAAAUAUAAAGAAGCAUGAAUGUAAAUAACAUCACCAUAAUCUAAAUUGGGUAAAAAAAAAAACUUUUAUAUGGGUAAAAAUAGCUUUGCAGAUGUUAUUUCCUUGCCUAAAUCAUUAAUAAAAAUAGCAGAAAAUAAGUGGUGCCAGUAAAGAACCUUGUGAGACAACCUUCUUGAUUGAUAAGGUGUAAUUAUCUACAGAAACACACUGAGUUCUAUCCGAUAAAUAGUUUUUAAAACCAGCUCAAGGUCAUAUUACUGAGGCCUAUACUUUUAAACCUCUGUAACAGUAAGGCAUGAUUAUUAUUUAUCAAAGAUUUAAACACUUUAACCAGUAGUCUAGAAAUAGGGCGAUAAUUAUUCAAAUCGGAGGGAUCUCCUCCUUUUAGUAAAGGUAUAACCAUAGCUGGUUUCCAAGACGGUUGAUAAUCUCAGAUUAAGAAUCUACACAAUAGGUUCGGCAAUUACAUCUGCAGAAACUUUUUUAAAAAACUAGAUGAAUUUUUCAGACCCACCGUAUUUCUUAAAAUCUAAAUCUGACAGCCAUUUAUUAACUUGGGCAAUAUAGGGGUAAUGUUAAAAAUUUGUUUUACUAAAAUAAGUCUACUCAUCAAUUCCCUGUCCAUCAUUGUCCAUUGAAUUGCUGGUGUCUUUUAUCGAACUGGCAGAAAUAAAAUGUCUAUUAAACAUAUUAACACUAUUAACCUCGUCUGUAAUUAAUCUUUGGGUAACACUUUAUAAUAACUUUAAUUAGCCUAAUAAAUCAUUAACAAACAUUACAUAAUGUUUAACAGAUCAUUAGUUAUUAUAGAUUCAUAGCCUAGCUAGAAAUGUGAGAUCAUGUUCUUGUUAAUGCAUACCAAUGAACUUACUAAACAUUUCCUAAUGAUUAACAUAUGAUUAUUUAAUGUAAAUUGAAAUGCUUACAAAUGUCAGUAAACUUUCAGUUCUGAUCUUCGUUGGUCUCUGUUUGUUGUGUAGACCUCUGUUUACAUAGAUUAACAAAUAAUCUAUUAAUUAUUUAUUUAUGUUUUUGCAGUACCCAAUCUAAAGUGGAAACUAGUCAUUAUUUGUAAAUUUUUAAACAUUUACUAAUCAUUAAUACCUUUAUGAGCAAUCAUCUCAAUGGCAAAAAGUGUCCCGAAAGACCUGAAUUUACCCUAAUCACACAUCUUUACUAAUCAUUUAUUAAUCAUUUGUUCAUGUUUUUGCAGUAGUCAAUCUAAAGUUGAAACUAUUCAUCAUUUGUAAAUGUUUAUAAAUGAUUCCUAAUCAUUUAGUAUCUUUAUAGGCUUUGGACUUUUGUAACAAGGUUUGUGUAAAGGGUGGCUGGUUAAGUUUAGCUAAAUGCUUGCUAAAGACAUAACAGGUUGUAAUUUUGGUGCAAAACAAAAAUGUUUUUAUUGCCUCAAUGCUCACAUUAUACUACAUUUAGUCAUUAUACUACUCUUCAGUAUAUAAUUAAACAGGAUAUUCCUUGAAUCAUAAAUAAACAGGGGGAAACAAAUAUUUUUUUAAAAAGAAAAUACUUUUUUUUUUAUCAAACAACAAUAUAAUAUGAACAGAUUGAACUGUGUUCCCUUAUAAUAAUCAAAUUGGUCCCUGUACACUGUUGAUCCUUAAAACAGACCCAUUAACCUACCCAUACCACCAAACCUGUUCCUAACCUUGCCCGUAUCACACCUCAAUAACAGAAAAAGUGUUGUGCAUAAACACAAGCUUUUUGUUACAGUACAGAUGGGUCGGAGACAGAAGAUCACAGGUAAGGUGGUAUUUAUUGACAUAAGCAGAGAUGGGAUGAGAAACAGUGGUAAAUCGGUGAUUGCAGAGAGUGAGUAAACUGAAUACUGUCCUUGUGAUGAUGUAGGGUGAAGGUCCUGGAAGUAGCAGAAGAGUGGAGACGUUGAGGGCUGAAGACACACACACUCACGAAAGACACAGGAGGUAACUGGGAAUCACUGGAGACAGGUAGGUAUAGCAAUGGAAGUCCUUGAAGUCGGCAGAUAGGUAUUCCUAGUUGCGAACGAGACCGGACAGUGACUGUGUGUGUGUGAGUGUCUUUUAAGUGUUGGUGGAUGAUGGUGCUGACGAGGGGCAGGUGUGUGUGAUCAGUACUCAGGUGAGGGAGUGCGCUGUGGUUGGAUGGGGUUGGAGCCUGGCGUGUCUAUGACACUUUUAAUCAUUGUAUAAUAUCUGUCAAAAUCAUUUGAAGAUUUUCAAUAAGUGCUUGAUCAUAUGGAAUUGAAAGUUUAAUGACAUAUGUAAGCAAUUAUUUGUUUGAACAUGAUCUAAUGUUUAAUAAUUAGUUAACAUUAACAAGCACAUUAUCUCAUGUUUCGAACUCUUGUACAGGUUUAAAAAUGAAAAAAAUGAAAAGCACUUGAGCAGGUUUAAAAAUGAUCUGAUUUAGAUUUGUCCUGAGAAUAUUAACAAUACAAUAUAUUAGCCAUAUAGAAUUUAAAAAAUAUAUACGUUUAACAUGUCUAUGUAUGUGCAUUGAAUAUGUCUCUUAGCAACAAGCCUGCACAAUUGUGAGUGGUUGUAUCUUGUUCAACAAAUCCUACAAGUUGCCAGAAGGCAUUUGAGAGAAAUGUUCUCUGCUCUCUUCUGUUCAUCUCUGAAUGGCCCAGGGCUGUCUGCAUGAAGACUGCUCAUUAGCACCUGG